Molecule: non-coding RNA, 129 nt
Filed under: Anopheles coluzzii
Lineage: Eukaryota; Metazoa; Arthropoda; Insecta; Diptera; Culicidae
Source: RNAcentral
GUGUCAUUUGAAAGUAGAGCAGGUUAGCACUCCCCCUUGACAAGGUUGGAACACAUACCAUGAGAUCAGUGGGCACCACCACUGAUCGUAUGGAACGAGACAUCCAUGAGUAGCCGCUAUGCUCUUUGU